GAGAGAGAGAGAAACCAAGUAAGUAAUCCCAUUAGAGGUAAGCUAGGUGUGCAGGGGUGAGAGAGAGAGAGAGAGAGACAGUGAGAGACGAGUGAGAGACGAGGUGGAGCCGGUGACUGACGCAGAAAGUGAGCCAUUAAAAGUGUAUCCUAGGCGUCACUCGGCGCACUGGGCGAUACCUGGCCGAGUCUUCUUGUCCUGGGAACGGAACCAAGAUUAAGAUCAAGAUAUCAAAUGUAAACAAAGCAACUGAAGAAAGAGAGAAAACGGAGAUAUAUAGAAAUAAAACAGAUAAAAAUACAGAGAAAAACGAGGAAUAAAGAAACAAAGAAGAAAGGAGAGAGAAAAAAACGUGGUGAUAAUUGAUAACUGAGAGCGUAAAGAGGGAAGAAGGAAGGAAAUCUGAUAAAACAAAACGGAAAGAUAAAAAAAAAGAAAGAACAAAGAAAACGCAUAUAAAGAAAGGGGAGACUGAUAAAAAAUAGAUAAGCACCAAGGAACAAAGGAGAGCGAAGAAAGAAAACGAGGAUAAAAGAAAAAAACAGAUAAAAGCAAAGGAGAGAAAAAAUAAAGGAAAAAUAAAAAGAAGAGAAUAAGAAAAGAAGUAAAAGAUAAUAACUGUGAUAAAAAGAGAGACAGGAAAAGAGAUAGAAAAUUUUAAAGAGAGAAAGACAGAAAGGGAAGAAUUAAUAUAAAAAAAUAAACAGAGAAAGGAAGAACCGAUAAAUAAAGUGAAAAAUAAAGGAAGAAAAGAAAGAAAA
Long non-coding RNA from Scylla paramamosain (green mud crab), 761 nucleotides. RefSeq lists it as uncharacterized. The record is from RefSeq and is a predicted model, not a curated record. The transcript has 2 exons. Lineage: Eukaryota; Metazoa; Arthropoda; Malacostraca; Decapoda; Portunidae.